ACGCUCGACACCUACGGGAGGCAGCAGUGGGGAAUAUUGCACAAUGGGGGAAACCCUGAUGCAGCGACGCCGCGUGGAGGAAGAAGGUCUUCGGAUUGUAAACUCCUGUUGUUGGGGAAAAAGAGGGUGGUACCCAACAAGGAAGUGACGGCUAACUACGUGUCAGCAGCCGCGGUAAUCUGAGCGGGCUGGCAAGGC
Molecule: ribosomal RNA, 198 nt
Filed under: uncultured bacterium
Lineage: Bacteria
Description: partial 16S ribosomal RNA
Rfam family: Bacterial small subunit ribosomal RNA
Source: RNAcentral